RNAcentral lists this transfer RNA (72 nucleotides) under Marmota marmota marmota (Alpine marmot). It matches the Rfam family "tRNA". Rfam says of the family: Transfer RNA (tRNA) molecules are approximately 80 nucleotides in length. Their secondary structure includes four short double-helical elements and three loops (D, anti-codon, and T loops). Lineage: Eukaryota; Metazoa; Chordata; Mammalia; Rodentia; Sciuridae. The record is from Rfam by way of RNAcentral. RNAcentral also lists the same sequence under 2 other names.
GGGGAUGUUGCUCAGUGGUAGAGUGCUUGCCUGGCAUACAUGAGGCCCUGGGCUUAAUUCCCAGUAUUAUGA